GGGAGCAUAACUUAGUGGUAGAGUGUGUGCCUUACAAGCACGAAGUCGGGAGUUCGAUCCUCUCUGCCCCCA
Molecule: transfer RNA, 72 nt
Filed under: Akkesiphycus lubricus
Lineage: Eukaryota; Phaeophyceae; Laminariales; Akkesiphycaceae
Also listed under: 2 other names
Description: tRNA-Val
Rfam family: tRNA
About the family: Transfer RNA (tRNA) molecules are approximately 80 nucleotides in length. Their secondary structure includes four short double-helical elements and three loops (D, anti-codon, and T loops). Further hydrogen bonds mediate the characteristic L-shaped molecular structure. tRNAs have two regions of fundamental functional importance: the anti-codon, which is responsible for specific mRNA codon recognition, and the 3' end, to which the tRNAs corresponding amino acid is attached (by aminoacyl-tRNA synthetases). tRNAs cope with the degeneracy of the genetic code in two manners: having more than one tRNA (with a specific anti-codon) for a particular amino acid; and 'wobble' base-pairing, i.e. permitting non-standard base-pairing at the 3rd anti-codon position.
Source: RNAcentral